This 433-nucleotide ribosomal RNA is filed under the name uncultured bacterium. RNAcentral describes it as "partial 16S ribosomal RNA". It matches the Rfam family "Bacterial small subunit ribosomal RNA", at positions 29 to 507 of the family's 1533-position model. The record is from RNAcentral.
AACGAACGCUGGCGGCAUGCCUAACACAUGCAAGUCGAACGAGACCUUCGGGUCUAGUGGCGCACGGGUGCGUAACGCGUGGGAACCUGCCCUUAUGUUCGGAAUAACUCCCCGAAAGGGGUGCUAAUACCGGAUAAUGUCUUCGGCCCAAAGAUUUAUCGCCUUUGGAUGGGCCCGCGUUGGAUUAGCUAGUUGUUAGGGUAAAAGCCUACUAAGGCGACGAUCCAUAGCUGGUCUGAGAGGAUGAUCAGCCACACUGGGACUGAGACACGGCCCAGACUCCUACGGGAGGCAGCAGUGGGGAAUAUUGGACAAUGGGCGAAAGCCUGAUCCAGCAAUGCCGGGUGAGUGAUGAAGGCCUUAGGGUUGUAAAGCUCUUUUAACCGGGAUGAUAAUGACAGUACCGGGAGAAUAAGCUCCGGCUAACUCCGUG